AUUCUUUUGCUCCGCUCCGUCCUGCCUGCUUCGGAGCUCUGCCUUCCAGCCGGGCUCGGCUGUGCUUUGUCCGGAGAUGGCGAGCGAAGGGAAGCCCCUGCCAGGCCAGGCCUGGCGGCUCCCGCUGGAGAUUGGGCGCGCUCCGUUCCCGGCGCCGCGGCAGCAGCUUUGCAACUCGCAACCUGGCUAAUUUCCUGCGUCCUCUGGCACCAGGAAAGAGGACAAUUCUUCUCUCGGGCUGCCCAGGCGACAGCUGUCAGAGGGGCAGGAGCUUCUGGGAGCCACCGUCUGAAGGCUACGUGUGCCGCCUGGCCAUUCAAACUGUCAAUUUUAGGUCCAGAAGUGUCCAAACCACAAGUUCUCAAAACUCUCUGAAAAAUGGCUCCCUCCGAGUUAAGCAAUUCUGAAAGGCAUUCUCUGGGAAAAGUCUGUGGAGGAGAGAGGGAUCUUCUUGCAAAUAAUGUGGUCUCAGGCAAGGACACAGCAUCUUGGCUGUCUGCUAAAAAAAAAAAAAUGCCUAGACUCUCAGUGGAAAUUGAGUG
RNAcentral lists this small RNA (542 nucleotides) under Pan troglodytes (chimpanzee). RNAcentral describes it as "processed transcript". Lineage: Eukaryota; Metazoa; Chordata; Mammalia; Primates; Hominidae. The record is from RNAcentral.